This 465-nucleotide ribosomal RNA is filed under the name uncultured bacterium. Its description in RNAcentral is "bacterial SSU rRNA". It matches the Rfam family "Bacterial small subunit ribosomal RNA", at positions 338 to 795 of the family's 1533-position model. The record is from RNAcentral.
CCUANGGGCGGCUGCAGUAGGGAAUUUUGCGCAAUGGACGAAAGUCUGACGCAGCAACGCCGCGUGAGUGAUGAAGGUCUUCGGAUUGUAAAGCUCUGUUGAGUGGGAAGAAAAGUUCCGGGAAUAACACCUCGGGAUCUGACGGUACCACUUGAGGAAGCCCCGGCUAACUACGUGCCAGCAGCCGCGGUAAUACGUAGGGGGCAAGCGUUGUUCGGAAUCACUGGGCGUAAAGGGAGCGUAGGCGGAAGAAUAAGUUAGGAGUUUAAUGUACGGGCUUAACCCGUAAUCUGCUCCUAAUACUGUUUUUCUUGAGUAUGGGAGAGGGAGAUGGAAUUCCAGGUGUAGCGGUGGAAUGCGUAGAUAUCUGGAAGAACACCAGCUGCGAAGGCGGUCUCCUGGCCCAAUACUGACGCUGAGGCUCGAAAGCUAGGGGAGCAAACAGGAUUAGAUACCCGGNUANUC